ACAGCCUUUGGUACACUUUGGACAGAGUGGUGGACAUACAGUGGUGUCUCGGGUCCACGAUAUUGGGGAAUCCAUAAUCCAGAUUGGAGUAUAUGUAAUAAAGGGAAAUAUCAAUCACCAAUUAACAUUGAUCCUAAAAUAUUAGUACACGAUCCACAUAUGAAACAUCUCAACAUAAGUCAAUAUCAAAUUGAUGGCCUUUUUAGAAACAAUGGACAUUUUUUAUCCUUGUUAAUCAAUAAUACCAAUACUAAACCAUUUUAUAUAACCGGUGGACCUUUAUCUUAUAAAUAUACAUUGUACGAGAUCAAAAUUCAUUUUGGAGAUCAUGACAGCAUAGGAUCAGAACACAGUGUUGGCGGGAAAAAAUUUCCAUUA
Mytilus trossulus (common blue mussel) is the source of this 378-nucleotide long non-coding RNA. RefSeq lists it as uncharacterized. The record is from RefSeq and is a predicted model, not a curated record. The transcript has 3 exons. NCBI's taxonomy places the organism in Eukaryota, Metazoa, Mollusca, Bivalvia, Mytilida, Mytilidae.